AUCUAGAUGGUCCAAAACCAAUCGUUUUCAGGCAAGGAAGACAAAAAUCCUUAUACUCACCUUAAUGAGUUUGAACACACUUGUGCGUUUCAAUUCUCAGCAGAGCAAUCAACAGAGGUUCUAGGGACCAGUUAGUCAAUGGGAUCGCAACCAACAAUCUCAGCGUAAUCCUAAUCAUCAACAGAGUGGACAGCAGACUUCCCGCUCCGGAGAUUCAAAUGCCACCUCUAUGAAGAGAAGUGCUCCCAAUACCCCUACUAGGUGUUUUCGCUGUGGGAAAGAAGGUCAUAUGUCAUAUGAUUGCCCGGAGAGAUUCAACCAGCGGAACAACAAUCAAAAGUCUAAUUCUCAUGGAGCAAAGGUGAACCAUGUGGCUGCAGAGACAGUACAAGAGGGACCGGAGAUUAUAAUGGGUACGUUCAGUAUCAACUCUAUUCCCGCUACAGUUUUAUUUGAUUCUGGAGCUUCGCAUACAUUCAUAUCACAAGCAUUUGUUAGAGCUCAUAGCAUACCACUAGUUGCCCUGAAAACCCAUAUGCUAGUAAACUCACCGGGAGGGACUAUACCAGUUUCAUAUUGUUGCCCCUCAGCAAGUCUUUCUUUAAGGGGGGUAGAUUUCCCUGUUAGUCCCAUGGUUAUGAGAACCUCAGGCAUAGAUGUGAUAUUGGGUUUGGAUUGGAUGAAGAAAUAUGCUACGGAAAUUAAGUGCAAGGAGAAAGUAGUAGUUGUGACCACACCCAAGGGAGAGAGAAUCAGUGUGGACGUAGCAGUACAAGCUCCACCCACAGCCACAGUGAAUCAUUUAGAGGAUGAUGGUGUUGAUCUUCAGGACUGUGUAGGGAAUAAAUUUUCAGAUAAGUUAUCAGGUAUGUUACUUGACUAGAGACAUUGAAUUUGCUAGUGCAAUGGGAUUGGCAUUCACAAGGAGAAACAACUUGGGAAAGAGAAGAGGAUUGGAGAGACGAGAUUCUUUUAAGGAGGGUAGAGUUUGUAACACCCAAAAUUUUGAAUUUUAAUUAAUAGGAUUUAAUUUGAAUUAUUUAAGAAUUUUAGUGAGCAUUUAAUGUAGCAAAUAAAUAAUUUUUGUGGAAAUUAAAAUUUAUCAUAAGCUUAGUAACAUGAUUUUGUGCAUUCAUGCUGAGAUAUAUUUUAUUUUGUGUUGAUUGUAUUUGGUUUGUAUUUAAUUGUCCUCAAAAUCCUUUCUAAAAAAAAACUUUGAAAAAAAAAAUAAAACAAAAUAGAAAAGAAAUUAGAAAUAAAAAAAAGAGAAAGCCUUUGGAAGACAGCCGAAGCCCAGCUCCCCGGCCUGGCUCCUCCCCCUCUUCUCUGCUCGCUGACACCCUGGGGCCGCAUGUCAGCGCUUCCAUCUCCUUCCUCUGUUCGUAACCGAGCCGGACACGGCCGGGAGCCAAUCGAACCCGAUUUCUCGGGAUUAGUUGCCAAACGCGUUAGCCGAGCCCCUAUAUAAUCCCUAGCAUCGCCCCGCGCGUGUUUCCCAUCUUCGCCGCGCAAAAUCCGUGUCCUAGCUACAGCAGCCGCCAGACGGGAUCUUGCCGCAAGCCGAGCGCCUUGCCGCGCGCCGCGAGCUCCUCCCGUCGUUCUUCGGCCCCAGCAAAGCACCUCCUCGAGUUCGCGGUGAGCUCCUCGUUCCGAUGGUAUUUUUCUUUCUUGAAACGGUGCUCGGAAACGAGAAACUCGCGAACGCCGGCGAGCUUUCUAACGGUGGCCAUGGCGCCACCGUGCUGAGCUCCGGUCGGCCGGCCAGGCUUGACCCUGGAUGGAACACCAGCCGUUAGAUGCAAGAUCAAGGGACAGAAAUAGAAGUUACCCCUUCAGCUGCGAAACUAUAUAAAGAGUCCUUGAACUUUUUCAUAUUUGCUCCGCAGUCCUUGGCGCCCUGAGACGAUUCCGUUACUCAACUCCGAAAGCGUAUUUCGUAACCGCUUGAGUAAAAUACGUUUUCUAGAAAUUAUAGAAUUGCCAUUGGAUUUAGUUUGCUCAUAAAAUACUCAUUUUAACUCCGUUUUUGUCCAUUCAAAUUCCGUUGGAUUCGUAUUUACGAUCUCUACAUGUUAGAAAUAUUAGUUUACUGUUUUGAAACUUUUUAAUUCUGCAGUAGCAUUUAAUUAAUUAUUACUCUAUAGGAAAUCUUAGAAAAUUCAUAUCUUACUCGUUUCAAUUCCGAUUUUCGUGAACUUUACGUUUGUGUGAUCGUAGCGCUGCGUAAAAUAUUUUCAUAAAAUUUUAUAUUUGUUUUACCACUGUUUGGUGUAUUGUUCUAAUUAUAUCCUGUUGCUUCGUGUAUGAUUGUCUACAUUGGAUUGCGUGUUGUUGAUUGAUGAUUGGAAUUAGACGGUGAGCCGUACGUUGGUGACCAAGACCAAGCUUUUGAGGACCAGCAGGCUCAAGAGAGCUUUAAUCAAGGCAAGUAUAACUUGGGAUCAUCCUUGCUACCUAUUCACUUAUAAAUACAUAUAUAUCAUAUGCAUGCUAUCACCUUGUCGACCUUAGCAAAAUCAUAGAUGAUUGUUACCUGUAUUCCUUGCCUACCUACUUGAUGUGCAUUUGUUGUAGAUGUGCUAGUGCUUGAUAUAAUCCAUGAUCUUGUAAGAUGAUUAAUAGCUAUGCAAUGAACAUAAAAGAAUGACACAUAUAACUGUAUGAGAUCUUGUCUGUAAGUGAUCACCGGGACAACAGUGCAACCAUGAGGGCUAUAAUGGCUCUGGCUUUAGCUCAGUAUGAAGCCCUUUUCUAGCUUGUUAGAGGUUACCCGAAAGGGCGGAGGGGCUGAACCGUUUUGGGUAUAGUGUGGCCUCUGUCUGUAUGAGUAUAGGCUGCGCGUCAUUGUGCCAUCGGAAGGGGGGCUCUAUAUCUGCUCGCAAAGGAAACCUUGCGGCCCUAACUUGUUAGACGAACUUUUGAAAGGCUUCAUAGUGACCCCUGCCGACCUCCCUAGGAAGGGGGUUAAGAGAUUAGCUACCUCGGGCGAAAGGGUAAAUCAUGACUCAUGGGUAAAGAUGUACAACCUCUGCAGAGUGUAAAACUGGUAUACUAGCCGUGCUCACGGUUAUGAGCGGCCUUGGGGGUUCUUGCUGCGCCGACGAUGAGCUUAUUAAGUUGUUAUGUUAAUUUGAUUAUCGUUUAUGCAAUGGAUUAAUUAUGCUUACACUUGAUCAUGUGAUUAGUGGAUUAUUUAUGCUUCCUUGACAAUUGCUAUUUAAUUAUGAACAUGCUAUCCACUAUUAAAAGCUAAAUGCAGUCAAACCAGUGUCAGCUAUUUGAGCCUCAUGAACCCCUGGUUAUACUUGUUGAGUACGAUAUGUGCUCACUCUUGCAAUUUCCCAACACCUCAGGGUAUGAUAAUGAAGAUGACUGGAAUGAGGAUUAUCGGUAUGAGUACUAGGUUUGGAGUCAACCAGUCAACAGUGUCCCUGUGUGGAGCUUCUGUCGAGAGCGUUGUUUACUUUAUGCUAUCAUUUUUGUAUGAGACUAUGUGAUUCAAUAUAUAUUCCGCUAUGUAAUAAACACUGCAAUGGUACAUUUGAGAUUUGUCUACUUAUGUGUGCGACUAUUCCUGGGGCACAUAUGAGUCUUUUAUGCAUCCUAUUUUGUUCUUAAAAUAUGGGUGUGACAAAUUGGUAUCAGAGCUUUGUUGACUGUCGGACGCAAGCCUAGUUAGAAAUUGGCCGUCAUAAGGUUUUGAAAUUGCUAUAAAAUCCUUGUUCUAUAAACCUUGAUAUUUUCUUCUACACUAUAUCCUAUUCAUCUUCACCUUGUUGCUUAUCUUAAAGACUUGUUCUCAUCCCCACUCCUUGCUUUGAAUAUGCUUUUAGAACCUUCUCUUACCACCUGCUUACAUAGUUGAAAGAGAAUUUUAGGAAUCUUUGCCCUUAAUAGGAAGAGAACGAUAGUACCGCAAGUUGAGUUAAUGCUUGAAAUGUGAACCUUUGAUGCUUGGUUUGGUUUGUUAUUAUGCUUAUGCUUGAUUUGGAUCUUUGUAAUGAGUGCAAUGAUCUUGUGGAUUUCCUCUACAAUUUCAUUUAGUUUAUAGGCUUAAGGCAUAAGGAUUAAUGAACUAAAUAGUUGGGGUUGUUUAAAAUUCUGUUUCUGUCCUUUGCUGUUUUAUGGAGCAGUCUGCAAUGAAUCUGGUACAUCUCAAAAUCUGUUCAUGCAAUGUCCAUCAAAUUUUUCUGGGAACAAGUAGACUUCCAUAUCUUUCUAAUGCCGCAAGAAUGACCAUAUCAUCGAUUAUGAGCUGAGAGUUAUGACUGUUUCAAGUUGAGGUUUCUGCGCAGUCUGGAAUUCUGGAACAGUUUCGGUUGUACCCAGUUUUUGGUUAACCUCACGUUGGAAUCUGGUAAUAUGAUCUAAAUGAAAGUUGUAGACAAUUUCUUUAUCUUUCCAACGGUGUACAGCAUGUAUCCUUUUGAAUUCUGGAACUUGAGAUAUUAGUGAUUUUCUGAUCUGCUGAUGUUGGAUGUUACCCAGAAAAUUUCAGAUUCGGUUAACUCUUGUAAUUGUCAUGUUGGACAUUACUAAGAUGUGUUUAUAUACCUUGGAAUGCAGAUGGCAGCAAGGGGAAGAGGCAGAGGUAGAGGCCGUGGCAAUAGUGACAAUGCCCCAAUUACUGUGGAGGAACUUAUGCAAACUCAGAAUCAGAUGAUGCACGUCUUCAUGCAACACCUACAACAACAACCUCCACCAACACCACCACCUGUUCAUGUGAGAGAUAAGCGGGGGGAAUUCAUGAAGGGAAGACCUCCGGUAUUUACACACUCAGCGGAUCCCAUGGAGGCGGAUGAUUGGUUACGUGCUGUGGAGAGGCAACUAAACAUAGCACAGUGCAAUGACUUAGAGAAGGUGUUGUAUGCUUCUGGACAACUUCAGGGAGCAGCUCAGACCUGGUGGGAGUCAUAUCAAGCUGCUCGUCCCAACAAUGCUCCUCCUGUCACUUGGUUAGAAUUUUGCAGAGACUUCCGAGCACGACACAUCAAUGAAAGAAUGAUGGAGCUCAAGCAGGAAGAAUUCAGAUCUCUUAGGAUGGGUUCUAUGUCUGUGGCUGAGUAUCAUGACAUGUUUGAGCAGUUGGCUCGCUAUGCUCCAAACGAAGUCAGAGAAGAUGCUGACAAACAACGUCUCUUCAUGAAAGGUCUUUACUAUGAACUCAGAUUGCAACUGGCUGGAAAUACCUACCCUACAUUCCAGGCUCUGGUGAACCGUGCCAUUGUGUUGGAUAACAUGCGCAAAGGUCAGGAUAAGAAGAGGAGGAUGCUAGCACAAGGGUCUGGAGGCAACAACCGCCAACGUUUCAAUUCUCAGCAGAGCAAUCAACAGAGGUUCCAGGGACCAGUUAGUCGAUGGGAUCGCAACCAACAAUCUCAGCGUAAUCCUAAUCAUCAACAGAGUGGACAGCAGACUUCCCGCUCCGGAGAUUCAAAUGCCACCUCUAUGAAGAGAAGUGCUCCCAAUACCCCUACUAGGUGUUUUCGCUGUGGGAAAGAAGGUCAUAUGUCAUAUGAUUGCCCGGAGAGAUUCAACCAGCGGAACAACAAUCAAAAGUCUAAUUCUCAUGGAGCAAAGGUGAACCAUGUGGCUGCAGAGACAGUACAAGAGGGACCGGAGAUUAUGAUGGGUACGUUCAGUAUCAACUCUAUUCCCGCUACAGUUUUAUCUGAUUCUGGAGCUUCGCAUACAUUCAUAUCACAAGCAUUUGUUAGAGCUCAUAGCAUACCACUAGUUGCCCUGAAAACCCAUAUGCUAGUAAACUCACCGGGAGGGACUAUACCAGUUUCAUAUUGUUGCCCCUCAGCAAGUCUUUCUUUAAGGGGGGUAGAUUUCCCUGUUAGUCCCAUGGUUAUGAGAACCUCAGGCAUAGAUGUGAUAUUGGGUUUGGAUUGGAUGAAGAAAUAUGCUACGGAAAUUAAGUGCAAGGAGAAAGUAGUAGUUGUGACCACACCCAAGGGAGAGAGAAUCAGUGUGGACGUAGCAGUACAAGCUCCACCCACAGCCACAGUGAAUCAUUUAGAGGAUGAUGGUGUUGAUCUUCAGGACUGUGUAGGGAAUAAAUUUUCAGAUAAGUUAUCAGGUAUGUUACUUGACUAGAGACAUUGAAUUUGCUAGUGCAAUGGGAUUGACAUUCACAAGGAGAAACAACUUGGGAAAGAGAAGAGGAUUGGAGAGAAUCAAAUCCACAGUGCUUUAUUUAUACACUGCUCAAUCUCGAGGACGAGAUUCUUUUAAGGGGGU
Molecule: long non-coding RNA, 6246 nt
Filed under: Sorghum bicolor (sorghum)
Lineage: Eukaryota; Viridiplantae; Streptophyta; Magnoliopsida; Poales; Poaceae
Description: long non-coding RNA (SBIC_LNC010655)
Source: RNAcentral